RNAcentral lists this long non-coding RNA (202 nucleotides) under Elaeis guineensis (African oil palm). Its description in RNAcentral is "long non-coding RNA (EGUI_LNC049349)". Lineage: Eukaryota; Viridiplantae; Streptophyta; Magnoliopsida; Arecales; Arecaceae. The record is from RNAcentral.
CCGAAUCUUAUGAAGCAAAUCGAUUAAGGAACCUCUUCUAUCUUGAUCAAAUCUUUCACUAUGAAUCAAGAUAAGGUUUCAUAAAUAUUAUAAAAAUUUUAAUUGCUAAUCUAUUCAAUUUUUUUUCAGACAUUUGAUGCGAUCAGAUAAUUUUUCCUUCAAGUGGUAUCAGAGCCAGACUGUAUGUCAUGAUCACAUAACA